RNAcentral lists this non-coding RNA (21 nucleotides) under Mus musculus (house mouse). The record is from RNAcentral. Lineage: Eukaryota; Metazoa; Chordata; Mammalia; Rodentia; Muridae.
CUUUAACUCACACUCCUAACC